GGAAACGGCGCUAAUUCCGCAUACGUCCUGAGGGAGAAAGUGGGGGACUUCGGACCUCACGCUAUCAGAUGAGCCUAGGUCGGAUUAGCUAGUUGGUGGGGUAAAGGCCUACCAAGGCGACGAUCCGUAACUGGUCUGAGAGGAUGAUCAGUCACACUGGAACUGAGACACGGUCCAGACUCCUACGGGAGGCAGCAGUGGGGAAUAUUGGACAAUGGGCGAAAGUGUAUCCAGCCAUGCCGCGUGUGUGAAGAAGGUCUUCGGAUUGUAAAGCACUUUAAGUUGGGAGGAAGGGCAGUAAGGUAAUACCUUGCUGUUUUGACGUUACCAACAGAAUAAGCACCGGCUAACUUCGUGCCAGCAGCCGGGUAAUACGA
Molecule: ribosomal RNA, 377 nt
Filed under: Pseudomonas aeruginosa
Lineage: Bacteria; Pseudomonadati; Pseudomonadota; Gammaproteobacteria; Pseudomonadales; Pseudomonadaceae
Description: bacterial SSU rRNA
Rfam family: Bacterial small subunit ribosomal RNA
Source: RNAcentral